AGUGUCUUCAGUAAGCAAGAAAUUUCUAGUUGUCUUCAGAGGAAAUAGAGAAGAAACACGAGCCAUUUCUCUCCGCUUUAUGUGGGCUUUGGGGGUCCUUGACCAGGAGCAAAGGGUUAUUUGUGCAGCCUUGACUGUGACUCACCAGCCCACAUGCCAAUGUGAAAUUAUGUGUCUUUGUUGAGUCCCUGAGGUUCCCAGGGCAGAGAGGUGGGAAGGAAGGGGGGGUGGAUCACCCUUAGAAGCCGGAGGACAUCUGUGGGCCACCCCAGAGAAGUGAGGGCACAUGAAGGCUGGGAGACGCCUGGAUCCUUCCAGGGCCGGAAGAAAACAGCCCGUCCCGGGCUCUGACUCAGCAAUGGUCACACGGUCCGCGGCCCCGGGGCAUGGCCAGGGCUGCUGACCUCGGGACCCUCAGACCUCAAGGCAGGCAGUACCCACCCCAGGGUCCCGUAAGUCACCUAGAUGCGGGGACAGGGUUGCCGAGGGAGCACUGCUCUGCCCGCUGACCUCAGCUGGCUGGAGUCCGGACAUGACUCUUGACUGGAAGCGUUCUUCCCUGCACUUCAUGCCAUGGGCCAGACUUGGCAAUGGCAGAGGAGCCCAGCCCUGUGGAAGUUCUGGUUUCCAUUCUAGGUCAAUGCACCGAGACCUCAGUGGCAGACGACCGGGAGACAUGCGAGUCGUGGCCGGAGAGGGACCAGAGCGGGCAGUUUAGCCCCCAGAGUGGCUGGAGACGGAGCAGGAAGCACACCGAUGUGCAGAGCUGGCAGGGAGCCUGACCUGCCUUCCAGGGACUUCCAGAGGGCGGGCUCUGGAGCAGCUUAGAGACCAGGCACGGCCACCCCCCGGGCCACCUUCGAGCCCUCCCCAGGGACCCCACUGAGCAGCUGUCCUGUGGAGCCUUCCUGCAGCCCCAUCGGUCAGACCAGCCCAGUGCACACCAGGCACUUCCAGUCCCACAGCAAAGGCGAGGUCGGGGUUCGCUGGGACUGUGCUGCCACGGGCUUCCUCCUUCCCUGCUGGUCCACGUGCUCGGGCACCACAGAGCCUGAGAAGCCUCAGGGCAGGGGCGCCUGGCGGGGGCAGCCGGUGAAGCGCCCCACUUCA
This is a long non-coding RNA of Hyaena hyaena (striped hyena), 1110 nucleotides long. RefSeq lists it as uncharacterized. The record is from RefSeq and is a predicted model, not a curated record. NCBI's taxonomy places the organism in Eukaryota, Metazoa, Chordata, Mammalia, Carnivora, Hyaenidae. The transcript is spliced from 3 exons.